GAGAAAGAGAAAUAGGGAGAGAGACAGAGAGAGGAGAUGAGAGGACUGCAGCAAAUAACGACCCCUUUUAACAGUAUUUUCACUAUCAGAGACCCGUCAGUGGCAGUGUCUUCAGGGGAGUAUGUUGGAGACAGUGUGAAGGUAAAAGCUUCGCGAGAAAGCAGCUCGUUUCUCGCGAGAAAUGAGGGUCUCGCGAGAAAUGGUGGAAGGAAACAAGGAGGUCUUGUCUGUAGACCCAAGGACUCAAAGAAGUAUGACGCCUGUCUCCCCAGGGCUAUUGUGAGUGAGAGGGGACACACCCUGUUCUCCACAUCCUUAAGGGUAGAAAUAGAACAUGUGUAGAAGCCUCAGGAAGACGGCCUGGGGCCCAACACAAGAGGUUUCUCCAGCUGGCGCCGACCAAGGGAGAUGCUGGUGCCCGAGGGAGGAGGCGAGUUCCGGUCACUGGAGGACUUCGGCCAUCAGGCGGAGGAAUUUGCGGAACCAUCUGAUAAAUGAGAAUCUCACCCAGAAGGUGAGCUGCACCCUCUCCCUCAAGCAUUUUCCCAGUCACCCACAGGGGAAGACAGUGCAUUCCAAGGAGGGGGAACAGGAAAGGAUCCAAGCCUGGGUCAGCUGCAGACUGAGAAGAGACGAGAAGACAGGUGGAGAAGGAGCCGGCCCUGCAGCAGGAGUGAGGCCGCAGAAGUCCCAGCCCCGGCUUCCUGAAGAGAGGGCAUGGGUCCCCCUGCCCAUCGGAAGAUGAGGGAGGGCCCAGCCUCACCUGGAACGGCUUUUUCCGGGGAAUGCCCCCUGUUUCAAGAGUGAAACUCCUCCCUGUCUCGGUGAAAGCCUCUGCCUCCUGCUGCUGUCACUGCCGGGCCCACGGCUCUUCUCCCCAUGCCCUCCACACCUCCACCUCGUCAGGUAGGGCCUUGAUCCACACCCAGGUCUCUGCCAGCAUCCACGCUGUUGACUGGAACAGAGGACCAGUCUUGACCUACCCUACUCCCUCUUCUAGCUUACCUACCUUUCUCUCUCUCCCCUAAACCCAGUGUUGCCCCCCACCCCCACCAGCUCGUCUGAUCCUCUGCAGGCUCACCUCCUCUUACGGCCAGGGAUUUCCUGGCUUUCCUUGUUCCCUGCAGUGCGGCCACCAUGGACACCACACACCCUGGCUGCCCCCAGGUGCGGUCAUCUCUAGGGUCAGGAUGACCCUAUCUCAGGAUGUGGUCACCUGGCUUCACUCAUCAAAUUUCCACUGAGGCUGGCUGACUCAGGCUCCGGGUGGGGCAGGUGGGGCCCCCACACUCAGCUUAAGAGUUCAGGGCACAGUAAUUAUAUGACCUGCCCCUUGCCUUCCUGCUGCUCUGGGUCCUGUUUUUCUAAUCACUCAAUAGGCAUUUCCACUUGAAAAUCCCUCUGUCAUUUCAAAACCAGUGUUUGAAACAAGAUCCUGCACCCUCUCCUGCCCCCCCACCCCCACACACGCACAGAGUUUUCUCCUAACAGCUUGGUUUCUCUGUGGCUCACCACACCUCUCCCAUCACCCCGUUUUCCGCUAAACCUUGGUGCCAUCCUCUGUUGCUCCCUCUUCUGGUCUUCCAGGUUAUAAUGAAUCAGCAAGUGCUCUGGUUUUUUCCUUCCAGUUCUCCUUCCCCUCUGUUCCCUGGGGUAUGCCCGGGGACCAACCUACUCUCCUCCACCUUGAGCAGAG
This is a long non-coding RNA of Capra hircus (goat), 1696 nucleotides long. The record is from Ensembl. NCBI's taxonomy places the organism in Eukaryota, Metazoa, Chordata, Mammalia, Artiodactyla, Bovidae.